AUCCCCGGGAAACUGGGGUCAACUUCCGAUAGGCGAAGAACUCUGGAACGAGUCUUCACCCAAAAGACGUUUAGGGCAUGCUCCUAGACGUUGCCCAAGGAUGGGGCCGCGGCCGAUCAGGUUGUUGGUGAGGUAACGGCUCACCAAGCCUAUUACCGGUACGGGCCGUGGGAGCGGUAGCCCGGAGAUGGGCACUGAGACAAGGGCCCAGGCCCUACGGGGCGCAGCAGUCGCGAAAACUUCGCAAUAAGCGAAAGCUUGACGGGGCUAUCCCGAGUGCCAUCUGCUGAAGAUGGCUUUUACCUAGUAUAGAUAGCUAGGGGAAUAAGGAGAGGGCAAGUCUGGUGUCAGCCGCCGCGGUAAUACCAGCUCUCCGAGUUGUGGGGAUAUUCAUUGGGCCUAAAGCAUCCGUAGCCGGCUGAACAAGUCCCCUGUUAAACCCAGCGACUAAUCGUUGGUCUGCGGGGGAUACUGUUCGGCUAGGGGGGCGGGAGAGGCCGUCGGUAUUCCUGGGGUAGGGGUGAAAUCCUAUAAUCCCAGGAGGACCACCAGUGGCGAAGGCUGUCGGCUAGAACGCGCCCGACGGUGAGGGAUGAAAGCUGGGGGAGCGAACCGGAUUAGAUACCCGGGUAGUCCCAGCUGUAAACGAUGCAGGCUAGGUGUUAGGGCGGCUACGUGCCGCUCUAGUGCCGCAGGAAGCUGUUAAGCCUGCACGCCUGGGAGUACGGCCGCAGGCUGAAACUUAGA
RNAcentral lists this ribosomal RNA (747 nucleotides) under uncultured archaeon. Its description in RNAcentral is "bacterial SSU rRNA". It matches the Rfam family "Archaeal small subunit ribosomal RNA", at positions 128 to 860 of the family's 1478-position model. The record is from RNAcentral.